Molecule: unclassified non-coding RNA, 373 nt
Filed under: soil metagenome
Description: partial contains 5.8S ribosomal RNA, internal transcribed spacer 2, and large subunit ribosomal RNA
Rfam family: 5.8S ribosomal RNA (bases 1-121)
Source: RNAcentral
GAUGAAGAACGCAGUGAAAUGCGAUAAGUAAUGCGAAUUGCAGAAUUCCAGUGAGUCAUCGAAUCUUUGAACGCACAUUGCGCCCUUUGGUAUUCCGAAGGGCAUGCCUGUUCGAGCGUCAUUAUCACCCCUCAAGCCCUCGGCUUGGUGUUGGACGGUUUGGUGGAGGCCCCCUCGGGGGCUCCUGCCCCUCCCAAAGACAAUGACGGCGGCCUCGUUGGACCCCCGGUACACUGAGUUCUUCACGGGACACGUAUCGGACACAUGGGUUUACGGGACACGGUCUGCCUCCCCUCAGGGAGAAUCUUUCUAAGGUUGACCUCGGAUCAGGUAGGGAUACCCGCUGAACUUAAGCACAUCAAUAAGCGGAGGA